RNAcentral lists this ribosomal RNA (253 nucleotides) under uncultured bacterium. RNAcentral describes it as "partial 16S ribosomal RNA". It matches the Rfam family "Bacterial small subunit ribosomal RNA", at positions 524 to 776 of the family's 1533-position model. The record is from RNAcentral.
UACAGAGGUCUCAAGCGUUGUUCGGAUUCAUUGGGCGUAAAGGGUGCGUAGGUGGCGCGCUAAGUCAGGUGUGAAAUUUCGGAGCUUAACUCCGAAACUGCAUUUGAUACUGGCGUGCUUGAGGACUGGAGAGGAGACUGGAAUUCAUGGUGUAGCAGUGAAAUGCGUAGAGAUCCGGAGGAAGACCGGUGGCGAAGGCGGCCUGCUGGGCAGUUUCUGACACUGAGGCGCGACAGCGUGGGGAGCGAACAGG